Molecule: transfer RNA, 73 nt
Filed under: Vitis vinifera (wine grape)
Lineage: Eukaryota; Viridiplantae; Streptophyta; Magnoliopsida; Vitales; Vitaceae
Rfam family: tRNA
About the family: Transfer RNA (tRNA) molecules are approximately 80 nucleotides in length. Their secondary structure includes four short double-helical elements and three loops (D, anti-codon, and T loops).
Source: Rfam by way of RNAcentral
GUGAGAAUAGCUCAAUUAGGAGAGUGUCAAACUGAAGAUCUGAAGGUUGCAUGUUAGAUCUACGCUUUUUGCA